UUUUCCCUGGCCGGCACCCAAGCGUCCGGGUGCUUCCAUACAUGGGCACCGAGGGGCCCGCGAGGGGAGACGUCACGGCGUGGGGGGGCCGCACCCAGUCCCGGCCAUGGACGACCUGGACGCCCUCUUGGCCGACCUGGAGACGACGACGUCGCACCUCGCCCGGCGGCCGGUGCUGCUGACGGACCCGCUGGGGGGGUUGCCCCCCACACACCCGGCCUCUACCCCCGCUGGGGACCCCCCCCGGCCACCCCCACCCCCCUAUGGCCCAGCGCCAGGGGGGGACACCGAGCAGCUCUACAG
Harpia harpyja (harpy eagle) is the source of this 303-nucleotide long non-coding RNA. RefSeq lists it as uncharacterized. The transcript has 3 exons. NCBI's taxonomy places the organism in Eukaryota, Metazoa, Chordata, Aves, Accipitriformes, Accipitridae. The record is from RefSeq and is a predicted model, not a curated record.